Molecule: long non-coding RNA, 1002 nt
Organism: Perca flavescens (yellow perch)
Lineage: Eukaryota; Metazoa; Chordata; Actinopteri; Perciformes; Percidae
Exons: 3
Source: RefSeq, a predicted model, not a curated record
AAGCGUUUUUACCUCUGGAAACUGGGGAGUCUGGGGGACAAGAGGAGUCCUUAUUUUCGGGGGACAGUCUUUGCUUAGCGUUUGCACUUCCUGAACUGAGUGACGGGCUGGAGGGGGGACUCGAGCCCCUGCUGUUCGUGGCACCACUGUAGAGGGUCUGUGACCGCGUCGGGCUGCUCUGACCCCCACGCAGGAGCUGGUAGGGCACGGUGGCACGGAUGGGGUGCAAACGGCAGCUGCUGUUGUUGUUGUACGAGCCGGGGGAGCCCGCAUUGCUGCGUCUCACCCUCGGCUGCUGAAGCGAGUUGCUGGGGGCUGACAUCCUCCGAAACAGGCUGUAAUUCCUCUCGCAGUAAGAAAGACGUACCGCCAAAGUUGCUGUUCCUCUAAAAGCGGAGAAGGUGGUGGUGUUGAGGCGGAACGCUUUUGCUCGGCCUUCCCCAUCAUGUCCACUCACUCUAAAUGACAGUUGCUUCGGCCAGACUACUGGCUGAUGCCUGAGGGCGGGCUACGCUCCUUACUUCUAAGCUUUUGAUUGGAUCUUGGCGUUGAACAGAGACGGGUCUUAUUGGUGGAAGUUUUCAUUGGGCUCGUACUUUCAUCCAAUCAGGUCAAGAGUGAAUUUCAGUCUCAACUUUUAAGCCAACAUGCACGAGAAGUCGGUACAAACUGGGCAAACUCCAUGUGCUGAGGAAGAUUGUGACUGAAAGCUCCAGAGCAUAAACUCCAGCAUCUACUACAACCAACUGCUAUUUCCAAGGGAAGAAUUAACUUUCAAUCUAAUAAGGAUAUGUAUAUUACUUGUCUAGUUCUGAGGUCCAAAAUCUAUUGUGUAUCUGUUUUUCACUAGUGUCCAUCUUUCUGCCUGCACUGAUGGUCUGUGAUUUUGUGGGAGUUCCCAUGGGAGAAUAAUGCGUGACUCAAUGCUUUCAAGCAAAGAUAAAGAAUGCACAUGAUAGAAAACCCACGCCAUCUGUGUCCAUAACACAUGAUAAUGUAAAA